GACGAACGCUGGCGGCGUGCUUAACACAUGCAAGUCGAACGGUGAAGCACCUUCCUUUUGGUGGGUGUGGUUGCGUGGCGAACGGGUGAGUAACACGUGAGUAACCUGCCUCCUUCUUCUGGAUCACCGCAUGAAAGUGUGGCUAAUACGGGAUAUUAUGUGCCUGCUGCAUUGUGGGUGUGGGAAAGAUGCGCUUUUGGGUGUUUUUGGUGGGGGCUGGGCUGGCGGCCUAUCAGCUUGUGGGUGCGUGAUGGCCUACCAAGGCGGUGACGGGUAGCCGGCCUGAGAGGGGGGACGGUCACACUGGGACUGAGACACAGCCCAGACUCCUACGGGAGGCAGCAGUGGCGAAUAUUGCACAAGGAGCGCAAGCCUGAUGCAGCGACGCCGCGGAAGAGAUGGAGGCCUUCGGGUUGUAAACCUCUUUCGCCAGUGAAGCAGGCCUGGCCCUUGUGGGUGGGUUGACGGUAGCUGGAUAAGAAGCGCCGGCUAACUACGUG
Molecule: ribosomal RNA, 500 nt
Filed under: uncultured bacterium
Lineage: Bacteria
Description: partial 16S ribosomal RNA
Rfam family: Bacterial small subunit ribosomal RNA
Source: RNAcentral